GUGCCAGCAGCCGCGGUAAAACGUAGGAGGCGAGCGUUAUCCGGAUUUACUGGGUGUAAAGCGCGAGCAGGCGGUUGUGCAAGUCAUGUGUGAAAGCGCUCAGGCUCAACCGGGCGAGGACGGGUGAAACUGCACAACUGGAGGCAGGUAGAGGCGGAUGGAAUUCCGGGUGUAGUGGUGAAAUGCGUAGAGAUCCGGAGGAACACCAGUGGCGAAGGCGGUCCGCUGGGCCUGGCCUGACGCUCAGACGCGAAAGCAUGGGGAGCGAACGGGAUUAGAUACCCCCGUAGUCC
Molecule: ribosomal RNA, 293 nt
Filed under: uncultured bacterium
Lineage: Bacteria
Description: partial 16S ribosomal RNA
Rfam family: Bacterial small subunit ribosomal RNA
Source: RNAcentral